UACGGGGGGGGUAAGCGUUGUUCGGAAUUACUGGGCGUAAAGGGCUCGUAGGCGGCCAACUAAGUCAUACGUGAAAUCCCUCAGCUUAACUGGGGAACUGCGUGUGAUACUGGAUGGCUUGGAUUUGGGAGAGGGAUGCGGAAUUCCAGGUGUAGCGGUGAAAUGCGUAGAUAUCGAGAGGAACACCUGCGGCGAAGGCGGGUAGCUGGGCCGACACUGACGCUGAUGCGCGAAAGCCAGGGGAGCGAACGGG
RNAcentral lists this ribosomal RNA (253 nucleotides) under uncultured bacterium. RNAcentral's name for it is "partial 16S ribosomal RNA". It matches the Rfam family "Bacterial small subunit ribosomal RNA", at positions 524 to 776 of the family's 1533-position model. The record is from RNAcentral.